GCCAAUGUGGUGUAGUGAUUUAAGUGUUGGACUACAACUCUAGAGACCAGGGUUUGAUUCCCAGCUUGGCCA
Molecule: non-coding RNA, 72 nt
Organism: Phrynosoma platyrhinos (Desert horned lizard)
Lineage: Eukaryota; Metazoa; Chordata; Lepidosauria; Squamata; Phrynosomatidae
Source: the annotation of a GenBank genome assembly